GGGCCUGUAAAGGUUUCGACGGGGAUUCUGAACAACCGGAAGCCAUCCGCAGUGUCUGACUGCGUCAACAACGGACAACUUAAAUUUAACUGCAGACGAUAGUCUUGCAUUUGCAGCCUAAUUAGGCUGUCGUCGCUCCUCUAGUCGCCUGUUGCUUUUGGAAGCGGCGUCGACUCAGACAGGGAACUGUCUUCUCAAAGCUUUGAGAGGAGAAAGGGAGUCAUGAAGCUACCGGAUAUGUCAUGUUUGUCAUUUGACGGUCAUAUCCGGGAAUCCAAUUCAAAUGACUGUGAUGGGAGAUGCCGAUUCGGACGAAUUUUCGGACGCGGGUUCGAUUCCCGCCAGGUCCA
This 350-nucleotide transfer-messenger RNA is filed under the name bovine gut metagenome. It matches the Rfam family "transfer-messenger RNA". Rfam says of the family: Bacterial tmRNA, also known as 10Sa RNA or SsrA, is named for its dual tRNA and mRNA-like properties. Its role is to liberate the mRNA from a stalled ribosome. The record is from RNAcentral.